Long non-coding RNA from Pezoporus flaviventris, 845 nucleotides. RefSeq lists it as uncharacterized. The transcript is spliced from 5 exons. The record is from RefSeq and is a predicted model, not a curated record. NCBI's taxonomy places the organism in Eukaryota, Metazoa, Chordata, Aves, Psittaciformes, Psittacidae.
UGCUGUACCAUGAGGGCAUGACUUGCAAGCAUGCAACAGAUUCAUGCAGGUAGAAGGCAUAAUGUCCAACCUGGCUUCCAAAGUUUCUCACCUGAUUUGUGCUCUUUGGUGGAGUCUCAGCAGUUACAGCAGAGUGCAAAAGUCUUGUAAAGACUACGUUAACUGGAAUAAGCAAGUUGCAUGCCUGAUCACAUAAGAAGAGGAAAGGAAGAUGUCACCGUACUGGAAAACCUCGCCUGACUUUUCUUGAUGAGUAUGGAAUGAAUGUGCUGGAGCAGCAAAUGCAAUGGCAGCUAACAGCGUGGAGUGUGUGCAUCUGCCAGAUGGUGAAAACAUCAAAGAUCAGAAUGGAGAACAUGAGCUCCACUCUCCAUCUUGAAAGAGAACAGCAGCACUAGUGCAGGUAUUGUCCACUAUUCAACACCAGCAGGUGUGGUCACCAUUACAUGGCAGAAAUGAAGUAAGAGGAGGUCACCCUCACAGCCCACAGACACACAGGCAAGGUUUCCUGCCUUGAAAAUAACCACCUUGACUUUGGUUCCAACAUUUCUUCAGGAACUCUAAAGUCUCCUGUUUUGUUUCACUGACCUCUGCUAAGUGAAAACUCAAAUUGGAAAUGCUGCACAUCAGAAAAUCAAAUCAUUUUCUCAUGGUCCUGUGGAAAAAAAAAAAAAUCACAGAUAUAUUUCACUUUAUUUAUUUGUUCUUCACUUUGAUAGCACAUCUCAAUCACACUUUCUAAUUAGAUCUUACAAGAUCUUUCACCUGCACAGGGAAAAAUAGCAAAAAAAAUGGUCAUGCAUGAGAUAUGAAUGCAUUCACACCAAGUAUGUUGUACUUUCAGG